ACGCUCGACACCUACGGAGGCAGCAGUGGGGAAUAUUGCGCAAUGGGGGAAACCCUGAUGCAGCGACGCCGCGUGACUGAAGAAGUAUUUCGGUAUGUAAAGGUCUAUCAGCAGGGAAGAAAGAAGACGGUACCUGACUAAGAAGCCCCGGCUAACUACGUACCAGCAGCCGCGGUAAUCUGAGCGGGCUGGCAAGGC
RNAcentral lists this ribosomal RNA (198 nucleotides) under uncultured bacterium. Its description in RNAcentral is "partial 16S ribosomal RNA". It matches the Rfam family "Bacterial small subunit ribosomal RNA", at positions 328 to 539 of the family's 1533-position model. The record is from RNAcentral.